This 98-nucleotide microRNA precursor is filed under the name Equus asinus (donkey). RNAcentral describes it as "mir-544 microRNA precursor family". It matches the Rfam family "mir-544 microRNA precursor family". Lineage: Eukaryota; Metazoa; Chordata; Mammalia; Perissodactyla; Equidae. RNAcentral also lists the same sequence under 1 other name. The record is from Rfam by way of RNAcentral.
AUCACCUGGGGAAUCUUAUUAAAAUGCAGAUUCUCAUUCAGUAGGUCUGAGAUGGGCCAAAGAAUUUGCAUUUCUAACAAGCUCCCAGGUGACGCCCA